This 689-nucleotide ribosomal RNA is filed under the name uncultured Actinomycetes bacterium. RNAcentral describes it as "bacterial SSU rRNA". It matches the Rfam family "Bacterial small subunit ribosomal RNA", at positions 44 to 740 of the family's 1533-position model. The record is from RNAcentral. Lineage: Bacteria; Bacillati; Actinomycetota; Actinomycetes.
GCGCCUUAUGCAUGCAAGUCGAGCGAAGCUUUUCUGUAGUUUACUACAGAAAAUGACUGAGCGGCGAACGGGUGAGUAACGCGUGAGCAAUCUACCUUAGUUACAGGGAUAGCCCGAGGAAACUCGGAUUAAUACCUGAUAUUCUUUUUUUCUCGCAUGAGUUUUAAAGGAAAGGUCAGCCGAACUAAGAUGAGCUCGCGUUCUAUCAGCUAGUUGGUGAGGUAAUAGCUCACCAAGGCAACGACGGAUAGCUGGUCUGAGAGGACGAUCAGCCACACUGGGACUGAGACACGGCCCAGACUCCUAGGGGAGGCUGCAGCAGGGAAUAUUGUGCAAUGAGCGAAAGCUUGACACAGCGACACCGCGUGUGGGAUGACGGAUCUAGGUUUGUAAACCACUUUCAGGAGGGAAGAAAAUGACGGUACCUCCAUAAGAAGCCCCGGCCAACUACGUGCCAGCAGCCGCGGUAAUACGUAGGGGGCGAGCGUUGUCCGGAUUUAUUGGGCGUAAAGAGCUCGUAGGCGGUUCAACAAGUCGGUCGUGAAAGUUCAGGGCUCAACCCUUGAAAUGUCGAUCGAUACUGUUGUGACUAGGAUACGGUAGAGGUGAGUGGAAUUCCGAGUGUAGCGGUGAAAUGCGUAGAUAUUCGGAGGAACACCAAUUGCGAAGGCAGCUCACUGGGCCGCUAU